CCAAAGAAGAACCGUGUUACCACUAGUCAUAGGGGCUUGGGGCCUAAUCAGUAUGCUAAUAUAUUUGGUGAUGUGCAUGUCAUGGAAUUAUAACCGAAAGUGAAAGGCCCCGCCAAACAUUUAUAGCGUAAUACGUUACAGCUCGACUUUGUCGAAGGAAGGUGUACGGCUUUAUCAAGGUAAAUGUAUGGGUAACUGAAUACUGUGAAUAUAUCAGUCAAUAAAAUACUCAGAUAGAUAGACAGAUAACUUUAUUUAACACGCUAACACCAACACUCAACAGCUAAAGCUGAUUUCCACGAAGGGCGUGUGAAGAAGAAGCAUACAGCAAAUAGAAAAAGAUUUUAAAAAAGCUACUUACAAAAUCUAAGAUAUAGUAUAAAAACAUUAUAUUAAGACCUACACUUUUUAAAAAAUGAUUUUGGACACGAAUUUGCGGAGAAUAUUAUUUAUAUGUUGAAAACCCCCAGAAUAUCAGUGACUUGAAUAAAACGGCCUAACUAAGGCUAUGUUUACACUUGCCGCCAUAAUCUGAUAGCUUUUUGUAGCGACGUAAAAAACACCGUAUGAAUGGUCUGUACUGUUUUGCGGGAUGUGACUAAAAUUGAAGUGGGAUUCGGGAGGUUAAGAGAAAUAUUGGUCGUGAAGCGGGAUUUUAUUCCAUCGCGAGAAGUGAAAAAAACGUUAGCGGGAUAAAUCAACAAUGUUGAUUGUGCAUGCAUGAAUGUGCUUAUUGUUUUCAAGGAUGACAUCGAACAUUUGUCCCCCAUCAACCCUCCAUUUAGAUGUAUGAUCGAGGCUUUCAUACUGAUAAAAGUCGCGAUUUAAAGUAAUUUAUUAUUUUAAACUUUGUUGUGUUGUAAUCUAGUGUAUUCAAAUUGUAUUCAGCUAUGUCGUCAACAAGUUCUUCGAAUACUCGGUUAUCCGUUGUCUACAUCUAAAUCAUAAUACGUUGAACAGUGUUAGAAAAAAAGUUGGGAGCGGGAAAUUGGGAUGAGUCAUGGCGGGAUAACGGGAUUUGAAGUAAAAAGCGGUCGGGAUAGCGGGAUUUCGGAACCCGGUACAGGCACCUCACCUAUCUGUUGUACCUUUUAGGAACGCAAUUUUCAGAGGAAUUAUUGCAACGGAGAGAUGUUGUUUCGCUCAGCUUCUGAAAGUUGUACAUGUCGUAUCGGAUAGGUGUUUUUUCGUGCUUUUGAACUUUUCGCGUUGCUAUGGAAAGCUAGCUAUCCCGUAGAAAUGUAAACGUAGAUUUCGAAUUAGAAUAUAUAUUAAAAAAAAAUCGCCAGUGAAAACGGACCUUUAGAUUAUAGUUAGACAUCAGGAUAGACACUAUGUACGUCGACAAAAUUACCGACCUAUGGUUUGACAUAUUAUCGCCCGGAAUAGUCAGUAAAAGUGAUUUCAUCAAGCUAACUUGAGACCAUAUUAUUCGGCUGGUAAUUUGGAUUUUCAUUAAAGGCCAUGUAAUUAAAGUCCGUAAAGUAAACAGACGCUUUUUUUUAACGAAUUUUUACUACUCUUCUGGUUCGCUAUGCUUGUAAAUGAAUACAGAGUACUAGAGAUUCAAUUCAAGAAAGUUCGGAGGGUGCGAAAGAUUAAUAACAUUCCAAUGGUCGGGUCCAGACCAUCUCGGGAAUGUAGGCCUGCGCAGAACGGACUUUACAUGGUCUUUAAGACAUCAUGUGAUUUAUGGACUUUUUCGAGUGACAAUAUUCAAAUCGAAAUCGAACAGUCGAAUCGUAUCAUUUAAACUUCAAGUGAAGUAUAAUACUGGGAUCGAAUACUUUAGAAAAGCGUAAAGAAUAUCUUUCUUUGAUAGAGUGUCAUAAAACAGUUUUUGGCCCUAACGGCAUAACAUUUAGUGACGUCCUAAAAUACAGACAUUGUAUAGGAACACUAGAUCUAAUUAUAAUUAUACUAUAUACACUAAACUACCUAAAAUUAAUCGUUAUAUAAGUAUUAAUUUUUCGUAAGAAUUAUCAGUUUAGGGAAUAGUUUGCCUGGCAGAGUUGUUGAAAUAACUACUUUAAACGAAUUCAUUAAAAGCCAACUCAAACGGUAUAUGAACUUACUUUAAAUGUGUAUUCUAUCUCUAAAUUUUUAAAUUAUGUUAACCUGAGAAGGAGUUCCUUAUAUAGGGUUAACCUCUGGCUGCUCCUGCAAGGCCUUUGUGUGUAAACAUCAUUGUACUUUGAAUAAAUUUAUUGACUCUGAUUGAAAAACACAAUACUAGUAUCAUAGUCGGUUUUGUUUCACGAUAUAAAAGGCGGGUGCGGAUUGGCGAACGAGGAGUGGCGGACGCGGACAGGAAAUUGUCAUAAUUAUCAUUAUGGAUAUUAAUAUAUAAUGAUUCUCUGGGUUGUAAAGGUACACGCAAGCGUAUAAAAGAUCAAAGUAUCUUCUCCACUUUCAAACGUAGACCCUUUGUCAUGGAGAAUUAGGCUGGUUUUUCAAGUAUUUCCUACAAAUUAAUUAACAAAAACCAAAGUUACAUAUCUGGUUUGAUAAAUCAUGGUACUGAAAGUUAUUUCACUGUUUUUGUUAUCCAGUGUUUUUAGUUCAUCAAAAUGAUCUUCUCUCAGAAACUGGUUUUCUUGGUUCUAACUCUUGGUCUCCUUGCCCACUCAGUCAGUGGAGGUCCAACGGUUGGAGCAGCAUGUGUUGUAUCUUGUCAUGCAGUGUGGGUCGCGUGUGUUGCCGGAUUGUCAUGGUUUUCGGGGGGACUUGCUUUUGUCCCAUCAGUAGCAACAUGUGGUGCAGCAUAUCUUGAAUGUGUGGAGCUGUGCGCUGUAGUUACAGUGCUGCCAAUCACACUUUGAAGUUACAAGAUAUCCUCGUUUUCACAACGGAAAAUAAUGCAUUAUCAUAAUAUGUAGAUCAGUAUGUAGAUCAGUGUGUCAUAAAAAGUAAAGAGCAAAAUGAAAAAUAGGAAUAGAGGUAAAAACUAACUUGGGUUGCACAAACACUUACUAAGAAAACUUAAAAUGGACUUAUGUAUGUAUUUGCUUUAAAGUAGGGUUGAGUCAAUAAUAAAUGUAUUGCACAC
Molecule: non-coding RNA, 3049 nt
Organism: Paramuricea clavata
Lineage: Eukaryota; Metazoa; Cnidaria; Anthozoa; Malacalcyonacea; Plexauridae
Source: the annotation of a GenBank genome assembly